This 5780-nucleotide long non-coding RNA is filed under the name Homo sapiens (human). Its description in RNAcentral is "HSALNT0323945". Lineage: Eukaryota; Metazoa; Chordata; Mammalia; Primates; Hominidae. The record is from RNAcentral.
CGGGGUUUCACCAUGUUGGCCAGGCUGGUCUCGAACUCCUGACCUCGUGAUCUGCCUGCCUUGGGCUCCUGAGUGUUUUCAGAUAAGUAGAUAUUAAGUGACUGACUGAGUAAAGGGAUACACUGGAUCUAUGGAAGUCUUGAUCCAAAAAGCUCUCCAUUGUCCAGUCAGACUCCCUUUUCCAUCUCCAGGGCAGACCAGGGCAUGGUAUAAACUGACUCCACUCCUUGUGUGUAAUACAGUGUCUUCCUAGAGAGGGCGUCUGUCAUUCCACCCCCAGGGACUGCUUGGCAUCUGUGUGGCAGGGGCCAUGCUGUUCCCCGCUGGGAGCACCAUCCUACAGUAAUCUCUGUGCAGGAUGCUAUUAUAAGAAAGACUUGGGACUUUGUCCCCACUCUGCAACCUCACACCCCAAACUGGGAAGGUGCUGAGAAACCGAAGAUUGGCUCGGACAAGUCCAGCUUGGCCAGUAGAUGACUCUAUUGAGGGCCCUCCUGGGUGGCGGCAGGACAGCUCUAGAGGUUCGCACUGCUGCCAUCACUAAGCAAAGUCUCUGGUUCCUGGCCUGCUGUGUGUGAUGGGACUGCCUUCCUGGGUAGGUUCCCAGAUACUCCCAGGGACACACGCUCCUCGCUGGGCCCCCCUGGCCUUGGCUCCUUGCCUGGCCUUCAGGGUUCAGGCAGUGGACAUCCACCCCACGUGACAUGGUGGGACACCUGUCACACCACCGAUGCCCCUGCAGAUGGGCCACGCAACAGCCCUCGGGCCUUCCUGUCUCAGAGCAGGGCUGAUCACAGUCAGGCCCACUGCAGUGGAGAAAGACUGUGCAGAGCUAGACGCUGGACUCGGAUCCUCUCUAGCGUGGGACAGGCACUGGGCACCCAGGUCAGCUGCAGUUCCUGAGAGAGGGCAGCCCCAGAGUCAGAAUCAAGGUGUCAAUAAUAGGAGAAACGAUGGUGGGGAGGAGACCAAGGCAUUAAUAUAGGAACUCUGUAUACUUUCCAGUCAAUUUUUCCAUAAAACUAAAACUGCUCUAAAAAAGGAGUCUGUUAAUUUUUUAAAAUCUCAAAAAGAAUGUGGCUGGUGCCACAAUGAACAAUUUGAGUGAGAAGCUACUCAACGAGGUCAGAGGCAUCAGAGAGGAAGAACACAGCAGCCUGUUUUCUUUGCUGCUCUUUACCGUUAGAAAGAACACUUUUACAACAGACUCUGUUUGAGGACAAACGCUCCACAUUUUUGCCCGCUGGCAGCAGUCAUAAAUUAUGAGAUUUCUGAGGGGCACAAAACUGCAGCGGUCUAAACCAGGCAACAAAAAUCAGCCAAGUCCUUAUCAGGAUCCCCUACAAAUUCUAUUGACUUUUUUGGAUCUGUUUGUCCCUAGGUGUGAACUAGGGAAAAGUCAGGCGAGUCUGCCUUGCUAGUAUAUUUAAAAGAGGAUCUUGGAGAAUUUGAAAGAAAAUGUGGAAGAAGAAAUGACAGUGCUUGGUGAAAGUCAGCAGAAGGGCUUGAUAAUGGAACAGACUAAGGGUGGUGGAUAGUUUUAAGGUUGAGAGAGAAAUGGAAUUAAAAAAAAGGGAGAUAUUCCUGGGGGCUUGAAGCAAGAAGCAGCAGCCGAGAGCAGCGCUGAUCAGGAUGUGAAGGGAGCUUGGUGCGGAGGGCAGUGCUUCCUAUGAGAAAAAGUCCAGUGGUCAAUCUUUUGGGAAGGAGCUGGUGGGAUGAGGGGGCAGCUGGACUGACCUGAGUGCUGUUGUACUGUCUGACCAUCUCCUUUGUAAACAGACGCUCCACACUCAUGCUCAGAGCAGCAUUAUUCACAGCAGCCAGGAGGGGGACGUCGCCCAGGUGUUCCUCGGUGGAUGAAUGGAUAAAGAAAAUGUAAACACACAGUGGAAUCUUACUCAGCCUUGAAAAGGAAGGAAAGUCCAUCCAACACAUGCUACUGCAUGGACGAACUUUGGACAGUGAGCUAAGUGAAAGGAGACAGUCACAAAAGGACAAAUACCAGAUGAUCCCACCUGCGCGAGAUGAUGUUUGUCAUAUCUCCUGCAUGGAGGAAAAUUGCUUUCUGUAAAUCUUGGUCCAACAGAACAAAACACCUAUUUCUUUCCAGUUGGGAGGACAGCCAUUCUCAUCGGUAUAAUGAACGUAUUGUAAGCUGUGACUUUUACAAAGUCUGAGGGAAACCAAUCUGCAAUCUUGACAGAUACGAUCUUUCCAGAUGCACUGUUCGUUUACGGCGGCAAGAGAGCUCAAUUAAUUUCUGAGGGAGGACGGCAGGAUGCGACCCCUUGUGCGUGGCCUAGGAGGAACUGUCCCUGUGUGAAUUUAUGUUCUGGUAAUUUAAAAAGAUUUAUAUUAAGCUUUUCUUUCAUUUUGAGAGUAGAUUAAAAUUCUAAUGGAAACCAUUUGUAUGCAUUUGUUGAAUUGAAGAGUAUUUAUGGCUGUGUAAAAAAAAUGCUGCAAAAUUCUGCCGAUAAUAAAGUCAGUGAAGCAAGAAUAAGUGUAAAAACAGGAAGGAAAUACGCGAUAGAAACCAUACUGUAUUAUACAAGUAUAAUGAGGGAGGCAAGCCGAGCAGAACGGGGCAGGGAUUAGGCCCCCGGAUGGGAUAGUUUUUCUUAUUUAGUGUAAGGCUUUUGUAGCCCUUUUAUGACUUAAAACAAAAUUUAAAUUUUGAAACAGGCCAGGUCAGUCUGCACAGACCCCAUGGCCACAUCACUGUGUCACAUCAUUCUUGAACUCCUGCCGGUGUCUAGGACAAACAGGCAGGAAAGAAAAUCCAAGCGGCGUCUCAGAGAAAAGAUGCUGAUGGCAGGAAAAGAAGACCCAUGAAACAGGAGGCGGGGGUCAGCGAGCAAGGUGAAAAUCAGAGCCCCGGAGUGCAGUGCAGGUGGAAGAGAGGUAGCAAAACCAGGGAAGUCGCCGUGCUCGGGACAGUCCAGUGUGUCCCUGGCAUCCCCAGUCAUUGCCGUGGCCACCUGAUCAGAACCUGUACAGAAGCUGCCCCAUCUCCUCCACGGUGAGGGCCAAGUUGCAUGUGCCACAGCCCUGUCGGUGACCUUUCUGCGGGCUGGGGAAGCAGAGACAACGGCCUGACAAUCUGCAGGCACAGCCAUCCAAGGGGACAGGGUCCAUGCAACAGCCACCAGAGAAAGCUCCUCACUGCCACCUUUGCAGAGGGAGAAAAGCAGAAAGCAUCGUGGAGGCCCUUUAUCAUGUUGGAAGGCCAGAGACAUUUGGCAUUCCGUCAAGGUCCAUCUUAGAGUUGAGAGAGAGUUUCACCAGGAAACUCACAUUCUCUCAGAACUAGCAGCCGUGAUCGCAUGUCGAAGUCAGGCAACGCCAAGCGUGAUGGUUAACAGCGCUAAGACAGGAGAAAAUGGAAAUUCCCUGAGAGUCCACUGCUCUGCUCCUGCGGCGGUGCUUUUCCCCCUCGUUGUAAGCAUGCUCUUUACCAGAGCUGCACGGAUGUCAUAAACUGCCUCACGAUGCACUAGAGCAGAAUCGUGCGUUAGCAAAUUUCACAGAUGCAAAGUGGGAUUUCUGUCAAUGGAAGCCUGCAUGGAAAAUACGGAACAGCUUAAGAAAGUACUGUCUUCUCUCAAAAUUCCACAGGAGCCUGAAAUGCAGGGGUUCCGGCCUAGGCGUUUUUUGAGGCAAAUAACGUCGCCACACGGCCGAGAUACAGGCCCCUUUUUGCCCCAUGAGACUUACUGGCCUCAGAGUCCGGCCGCUUCUGUUUUGUUUCUUCAUGUAUCCUUGGCUUCUAGCGCAGUUCCUGGUACACAGCAGGCGCUCAAUACAUAUUUGCUGAGCUAAGCAAAUAUGUCCUAGGCCCUGUGGAAGAUACGACAUGAGGAAGACCAGGUCCCUGCCAAAAAGGCACCGAGGGCCCAGGCUGGGGAGGGUAGUGCUGACAUCGAGUAGGCCUUCAGCUCUGACCCCAGCUUCAUUUUAAGUGACUAGGAACAAAUUCUCAAAACUUCUUUUCUAUCAACUCUUCUUCACCCCCAAUAUCACAGCACAACUGUCUGUCAUUGAUGGAGUUCCUGCAAUAAGACAAGCGCUAGAAGUUUACCAUAUUUGUAUCCUUACUGGAUUCCCAAAUUAAUCCUAGUAAGCAAGUGACAUGAUUGUUUUUAGUAGAGACAGGGUUUCACUUUGUUGGCCAGGCUAGUCUUGAACUCCUGACCUCAAGUGAUCCACCCACCUCAGCCUCCCAAAGUGCUGGGAUUAGGAAAAUGAAUACUUUUGCAAGCACAAUGACAGGAGUGUCAAAGGAGGUAGGCUCCACACUCUGAUGUCUCUUUAUCAGUGAGGCCUUUUCUGACUCCCUCACAUGAAGAGCAAACUCACUUCCCUUGUGCCAAAGCACUCAACAUAUAUGACAUCCCACACGGGGUAGGCUGAAUCGUGGCCCUUAAAGUAUGUCCAUGUUCCAAUCCUUAGAACAUGUGAAUGUAUUACCUUAUGUGGCAAAAUGGACUUUGCAGACAUGAUUAAGUUAAGGAUCUUGAGAUUUCAGGAAAAUUAUCUUGGAUCAUUCAGGUAGGCCUGACAUAAUCACAAGAGCCCUUACAAGAGAGAGGCAGGAGGCCAGAGGCAGAGAGCUACACUGCGGAGCUGCUUUGCAGAUGGAGGAAGGGGCCACCGAGACCUGAGAAAGUCAAGGAGACAGAUUCUCCCCUGGAGCCUCCAGAGGGAACCAGCCCUGCUCACACCGUCAUUUCAGCCCUGCAAGACUUGUUUGGGCUUCUGACGUCAAGAACUGGGACAGAAUGAAUUUGUGAUGUUUUAGGCCACUAGAUCUGUGGUAAUGUGUUAUAGCAGAAAUAGGAAACUAACACAACUCAUCUCUACUUGUGUAUAUGUUUGUUAUCCGUCUUCCUCUGCUGGGACAUGAAAUCCGCAACAAGUGGAGGCAAAGCCAGGGACUUUGUCUAUUAUGUUGACUGGCAUCCUUAGUGCUCAGAACAGAGCUCAGAAUAAUAAAUAUUUGUUGAAUGAGCAAAGACGGAGGGGGCAGUCGCAGGAAGGGGGCCUACCGCGUGGCUAAGGGCCCUGAGGUAUGAAAGAUCUGAGAUGCUGGUGGACGUGGCUGCUUCCCGAGCUGAACUGGGGAAGUGGUGGGGAGGUGGGAGAUGUCGGGGAGCUGAUGCUGGGGCAGUUUAUACUUUAUUCUGCAAAUGAAGAAUUAUUGAUGGGUUUCAUGUAGAGUCAUGAUCAUAUUUCUUGAUUGCGUUUUUUUUUUGUUUUGUUUUGUUUUGUUUUUUUGAGACAGAGUCUCACUCUGUCGCCGAGGCUGGAGUGCAGUGGUGCGAUCUUGGCUCACUGCAACCUCCGCCUCCUGGAUUCAAGCUUCCCGAGUAGCUGGGAUUACAGGUGCAUGCCACCAUGCCCGGCUAAUUUUUGUAUUUUUAGUAGAGACGGAGUUUCACCAUGUUAGUCAGGCUGGUCUCAAACUCCUGACCUCGUGAUCCACCCACCUCAACCUCCCAAAGUGCUGGGAUUACAAGCGUGAGCCACUGCGCCUGGCCUCCUGAUUGCUUUUUAAGUAAUUUUUUAAAAAUAAUUUUUCUCUUUAUUAUUAAAUGUUAGAAAUAUAUGGAAACGUGGGCAAAAAGUAAAAAUCACUCAAAUCUCAUUCCUAGAGUUAGUCACUAUUAAUAUUUUGGUGUAUGUGUAUUUCUUCCUUCAACAUUCAGAUUAUAUACUUUUUUGAAACUGGCUUUUUUCUCUUAAUGUGAAUUUCUCCAUGUCAUUAAAUAUUCUCCUAAAAA